RNAcentral lists this long non-coding RNA (808 nucleotides) under Gadus morhua (Atlantic cod). RNAcentral describes it as "lncRNA (ENSGMOG00000033847.1)". The record is from RNAcentral. Lineage: Eukaryota; Metazoa; Chordata; Actinopteri; Gadiformes; Gadidae.
GAGAGGGCCGUUAGAUGAGGAGGGCAUGAGGGAGAGGGGGACAUCACCCAGGGAGGGAAAGACCGAGAUGAAAAACAAAAGACCGUUGGAGGGAAACGACGGGGAAAAUCUUCGCCUGGCCAUGUAUGCAAAUCGCGUAAUGGGAACCCAGCUCUGCUGUGCGGUGCACAUUCAAACCUGCAGCUCAUUUUGUGAAUUUGCCUGUAUUCUGCCCCCUCUGAGACAUGGCUGAGGCUCCACCGACUCUCGAGAAAGAGUCCCCCCCCCCUGACGGUCAUUGUGCUCCCCGCUCCGGACAAUGUACCGGAAAAAAGCGGAAAGACACACAAAAGCGAAUCGAUGGCAUUAGUAUGAAAGCAGGCAUGUGGCGGGGGAGUUGGUGGGACAAACAUGCAAAACAAAAGGCCUCCAGGAGUCCUGCACGAGCGUCCUCCACGGGGAGUCGCCACGCGGUCGGCGCCGGGCCCCGUAUCAAACCGGUCUGGAAGCGUGCCAAAGGCGGAGGAUUCCUCCCUCCACUGGGUGUCCAUCUUAACAAAAGUGCUUUGAGUAGGCCUAGAUGUCGCGGGAUGCUCAGAGAGUGUGCUGCUGAGAGACGUUGUUCUGCGGAGCGUAGCCGUCACGCCCCGUUGGCCUCGACCGACGGCUGGUGUCCCAUCAAGUGGUCAAGCGCCAGCGAUUGCAGAGCGUUGUUGCGUCACCAUUCCGUGCGCCAUCGAAGCAGGUUUGGGGAAGAAAUUACCAAGAAGAAGACGGUGACCUCAACCAUCUACCAGGAGUUCAGUUCAACAACCUCACGAACCUUCAG